RNAcentral lists this ribosomal RNA (251 nucleotides) under uncultured prokaryote. RNAcentral describes it as "partial 16S rRNA". It matches the Rfam family "Bacterial small subunit ribosomal RNA", at positions 525 to 775 of the family's 1533-position model. The record is from RNAcentral.
ACGGAGGGUGCGAGCGUUAUUCGGAAUUACUGGGCGUAAAGCGCGUGCAGGCGGGGAGGCAAGUCAGAUGUGAAAGCCCUGGGCUUAACCCGGGAAGUGCAUUGGAAACUGACUUUCUUGAGUACUGUAGAGGAAGGGGGAAUUCCCAGUGUAGAGGUGAAAUUCAUAGAUAUCGGGAAGAAUACCAGUGGCGAAGGCGCCCUUCUGGACGGUUACUGACGCUGAUACGCGAAAGCGUGGGGAGCAAACAG